RNAcentral lists this ribosomal RNA (484 nucleotides) under uncultured bacterium. Its description in RNAcentral is "partial 16S ribosomal RNA". It matches the Rfam family "Bacterial small subunit ribosomal RNA", at positions 30 to 507 of the family's 1533-position model. The record is from RNAcentral.
AUUGAACGCUGGCGGCAGGCCUAACACAUGCAAGUCGAGCGGAUGAAGGGAGCUUGCUCCUGGAUUCAGCGGCGGACGGGUGAGUAAUGCCUAGGAAUCUGCCUGGUAGUGGGGGAUAACGUCCGGAAACGGGCGCUAAUACCGCAUACGUCCUGAGGGAGAAAGUGGGGGAUCUUCGGACCUCACGCUAUCAGAUGAGCCUAGGUCGGAUUAGCUAGUUGGUGGGGUAAAGGCCUACCAAGGCGACGAUCCGUAACUGGUCUGAGAGGAUGAUCAGUCACACUGGAACUGAGACACGGUCCAGACUCCUACGGGAGGCAGCAGUAGGGAAUAUUGGACAAUGGGCGAAAGCCUGAUCCAGCCAUGCCGCGUGUGUGAAGAAGGUCUUCGGAUUGUAAAGCACUUUUAGUUGGGAGGAAGAGCAGUAAGUUAAUACCUUGCUGUUUUGACGUUACCAACAGAAUAAGCACCGGCUAACUUCGUG